Molecule: long non-coding RNA, 201 nt
Filed under: Capsicum annuum
Lineage: Eukaryota; Viridiplantae; Streptophyta; Magnoliopsida; Solanales; Solanaceae
Description: long non-coding RNA (CANN_LNC022188)
Source: RNAcentral
CGGGGCCUCCUCUGGAUCAUCACCGAUUUCAAAAAUAUUAGUAAUUGCCCUUUCAUCUACCACGACGGGCGACGGGUUAUGAGUGGAGUAAAGGUCCAAUUUUGCAAAGCCUCCUAUGGCAUAAUCUGCUUCACCUCGCUGGACGCUGGGAGAUUUUCUGGUACAGCAUUGCAUCCUUCAAACAAAUCUCCUAUCCCAUCC